GACGAACGCUGGCGGCGUGCUUAACACAUGCAAGUCGAACGGAAAGGCCCUGCUUUUGUGGGGUGCUCGAGUGGCGAACGGGUGAGUAACACGUGAGUAACCUGCCCUUGACUUUGGGAUAACUUCAGGAAACUGGGGCUAAUACCGGAUAGGAGCUCCUGCUGCAUGGUGGGGGUUGGAAAGAUUCGGCGGUUGGGGAUGGGCUCGCGGCUUAUCAGCUUGUUGGUGGGGUAGUGGCUUACCAAGGCUUUGACGGGUAGCCGGCCUGAGAGGGUGACCGGCCACAUUGGGCCUGAGAUACGGCCCAGACUCCUACGGGAGGCAGCAGUGGGGAAUAUUGCACAAUGGGCGGAAGCCUGAUGCAGCAACGCCGCGUGCGGGAUGACGGCCUUCGGGUUGUAAACCGCUUUCGCCUGUGCCGAAGCGUGAGUGACGGUAAUGGGUAAAGAAGCACCGGCUAACUACGUG
Molecule: ribosomal RNA, 468 nt
Filed under: uncultured bacterium
Lineage: Bacteria
Description: partial 16S ribosomal RNA
Rfam family: Bacterial small subunit ribosomal RNA
Source: RNAcentral